CCAGACUCCUACGGGAGGCAGCAGUGGGGAAUAUUGCACAAUGGGGGAAACCCUGAUGCAGCGACGCCGCGUGAGUGAAGAAGUAUCUCGGUACGUAAAGCUCUAUCAGCAGGGAAGAAAAAAAGUCCUUCGGACUUUGGACGGUACCUGAUUAAGAAGCCCCGGCUAACUACGUGCCAGCAGCCGCGGUAAUACGUAGGGGGCGAGCGUUAUCCGGAUUCACUGGGUGUAAAGGGAGCGUAGACGGCCAUGCAAGCCAGGGGUGAAAGCCCGGGGCCCAACCCCGGGACUGCCCUUGGAACUGCAUGGCUGGAGUGCGGGAGGGGCAGGCGGAAUUCCUGGUGUAGCGGUGAAAUGCGUAGAUAUAAGGAGGAACACCAGUGGCGAAGGCGGUCUGCUGGACAGCAACUGACGGUGAGGCGCGAAAGCGUGGGGAGCAAACAGGAUUAGAUACCCGUGUAACA
Molecule: ribosomal RNA, 464 nt
Filed under: uncultured bacterium
Lineage: Bacteria
Description: bacterial SSU rRNA
Rfam family: Bacterial small subunit ribosomal RNA
Source: RNAcentral